RNAcentral lists this long non-coding RNA (571 nucleotides) under Bos taurus (domestic cattle). Its description in RNAcentral is "long non-coding RNA NONBTAT011676". The record is from RNAcentral. Lineage: Eukaryota; Metazoa; Chordata; Mammalia; Artiodactyla; Bovidae.
UGAGACUGAGAUUUGGGGCUGUCUCAGGCCCAUGCAAGCUACCUGUUGUAAUUAAAACUUAAAUCCCUAUUAUAGCUAUGGCUGCGAGGAGAAAAGUGCUAACAUAAAAACAUUUCAGAGAAAAUUGAGGGGACAUGGUAUGUGCCUGUUUGUGUCAAACUCUUUGCUGUUUGUCAUGUUUGUGACAGAAGAGACGCCCGUGUCAUUUACAAAGCUGGUCAAAUCAGCCCCCAAAGUGUAUGUCCACAGACACAGCUUCAAAAUCACAUACUGCAGGAAGUCCUAGGUAGGUUGGUGAUGAAAGUUUAGCCAAAAUAAAGAAGCACCCUUCAGGGCUGAGACAUAAUAAAAUAAAAUUCAAGUGAAGUUGGAGAUUUAAAUUUCCUGAUGUUUAAAAAAAGUCUCUAAAAGUGGCCCCACACUAUGUUUUUUUUCCUGAAUUGACUUUUGUGCAAAAAGCAUCACUUUCUUCCAUGGCUCCCACCUUUUUAGUCCCUGUCUUCCUCACGCCACUUGCCUUGGUCUUCUCUCUAACAAACGCAAUCUUGUUUUCUCCUGCCCUUGGAAGUUU